Molecule: unclassified non-coding RNA, 232 nt
Filed under: Glomus sp.
Lineage: Eukaryota; Fungi; Glomeromycota; Glomeromycetes; Glomerales; Glomeraceae
Description: partial contains 5.8S ribosomal RNA and internal transcribed spacer 2
Rfam family: 5.8S ribosomal RNA (bases 1-65)
Source: RNAcentral
GUGAAUCAUCGAAUUUUUGAACGCAAAUUGCACUCUCCUCGGAGAGUAUGCCUGUUUGAGGGUCAGCCUAUUAAAAAUCGACAUCGUUGGUGUUACGCGGUGGGGUUUGUUGGGAAUUGGGUCAUCUUAAAUCCUUUUGUUUUAAGCGACUUAAAAUUUUCUUUUCGUUUUAUGAAAGUUUUUAAGAUCUAUUUCUGUACACGUUUAAGGUAUCGAUUUUCUUCAGACGUGA